CAGUCGCCACGGUAAUACGGAGGGUGCAAGCGUUAAUCGGAAUUACUGGGCGUAAAGCGCACGCAGGCGGUUUGUUAAGUCAGAUGUGAAAUCCCCGAGCUUAACUUGGGAACUGCAUUUGAAACUGGCAAGCUAGAGUCUUGUAGAGGGGGGUAGAAUUCCAGGUGUAGCGGUGAAAUGCGUAGAGAUCUGGAGGAAUACCGGUGGCGAAGGCGGCCCCCUGGACAAAGACUGACGCUCAGGUGCGAUAGCGUGGGGAGCAAACAGGAUUAGAUACCCCAGUAGUCCCUGUCUCUUAUAC
This 301-nucleotide ribosomal RNA is filed under the name uncultured bacterium. RNAcentral's name for it is "partial 16S ribosomal RNA". It matches the Rfam family "Bacterial small subunit ribosomal RNA", at positions 509 to 807 of the family's 1533-position model. The record is from RNAcentral.